GCAUUUCACAGCAUCUUUCCUUUCAAGUUACCGAAAUUUCACGAAAACCUUCAAAAUGGAAUAGCAAAGCAAGGAAGUACUAAACAAGGAGGAAGGAGAAAGAAAGGAAGGGAAGGGAAGGGAAGGUGAGAUCAAGGGAGUGUGGGUCAGAAUUCAGAAACAGCUACACGUUGUGAAGAGGAGGCAAUUGCAUGUGCCCACAUGGCCUAUCGCAGCUGGAGAGAUGAACAACUCCACACUCACCCUCCUUAAAUACGCAAUUAACCAUCUUUCCAGCUUUUACAUUUCCCUGCAUCUUCUUUCUUUUUCUUUCUGUCGGCUUUUCUGCUCGUACGACAUCUGAAUACUGAAUAUUAGCAUCACCAAGCACUCCCUCUCUAUACCCACAAAUCAUUUUUGCAAUAAUGAAGGAAAACAGUGAUGGGUUUGUUAGGGCGGAUCAGAUUGAUCUCAAAAGUCUUGAUGAGCAACUCGAGAGGCAUCUCAAUAAGGUACGGGCCAUGGACAAGAAUAAGAAACCCGAUGAUGGUCGUCUCUCAUCAGUGGCUGCUGCUGCUACCGCCGACUCUACCAAGACUAUUGCGCCUACCUUCAGGAAGGACAGGCAGGCAUGGGAGAUCGACCCUUCUAAGCUCAUCAUCAAGACUGUCAUUGCACGGGGCACCUUCGGCACCGUUCACCGUGGCAUCUACGAUGGCCAGGAUGUUGCCGUUAAGCUGCUUGAUUGGGGUGAAGAGGGCCACCGGACAGAAGCUGAGAUUGCCGCACUAAGGGCAGCUUUUUCCCAAGAAGUUGCUGUUUGGCAUAAACUUGAUCAUCCUAAUGUUACUAAGUUUAUAGGGGCAACAAUGGGCUCAGCAGAGCUGCAGAUACAAACUGAAAAUGGCCAAAUUGGGAUGCCAAGUAAUAUAUGUUGUGUUGUUGUGGAAUAUCUACCUGGAGGUGCUCUAAAAUCUUACCUUAUAAAGAACAGACGAAGGAAGCUAGCUUUCAAAGUUGUUGUGGAGUUGGCACUUGAUCUUGCCAGAGGGUUAAGUUACCUUCAUUCCCAGAAAAUUGUUCACAGAGAUGUAAAGACAGAAAACAUGUUAUUGGACAAGACACGCACUGUAAAAAUUGCUGACUUUGGAGUUGCACGAGUUGAGGCUUCAAAUCCUAAUGAUAUGACUGGGGAGACAGGAACACUAGGCUACAUGGCUCCUGAGGUUCUGAAUGGCAAUCCAUAUAAUAGGAAGUGUGAUGUGUACAGUUUUGGCAUCUGUUUAUGGGAGAUAUAUUGCUGUGACAUGCCAUAUGCUGACCUUAGUUUCUCGGAAGUGACUUCAGCUGUGGUCCGUCAGAAUUUGAGACCAGAAAUACCAAGGUGUUGCCCAAGCUCUCUAGCGAAUGUAAUGAAGAGGUGCUGGGAUGCUAACCCUGACAAGCGCCCUGAAAUGGACGAGGUUGUCUCCAUGUUGGAGGCCAUUGACAUAUCAAAAGGUGGGGGUAUGAUCCCUCCUGAUCAACAGGGUGGUUGUCUCUGCUUCUGCAGGUAUAGAGGACCUUGAAGGGUUACUUCCUUUUGUCAGACAAACGACUAGAAUAUGAUUGUUUUGAGCUAUAGUAAUCGAAACCGUGAUUAACAUUGAAGGUAAAGGAGAUUUUUAAUAUAAAAUGGGGAAGAAUGGAUGGUGGUGCAUAUAGGAUGGGAGAUGUAUCAAAUUUCCCAUUAUUGGUUGACGUAUAUCUGUUGUUUUGUUACUCUUUUUUCUUCAAUAUUUUUUGGGAGGUUUUUGAGUGUGUAUUUAUUUGGUUUGCCAGUCUCGUCAACUGGCAUAACCAGCUCAAACGCAUAUAGGGUCUGCUAUUAGUGGAUAUUAUUGGUUAACGUUGUCAAGGUAAUCAAAUAUUAUUACCAACAUUCACUUGGUGUAUAUCCUGUCUUUAUUUACGUAAUGGCUCCCUGUAUUUUGACCAAGUUUUAGCAUUAAGAGUUAAUGGAGUGACAACAGUGGGAAAUGAAAUAAGAGAUACAUGAAGCAAUGUUGUAUUCCAUUCUUUCCUAUCAUAAAGAAAUGUACAAUGAAGUUGAACCUUUGCAAUACUGGUAUAGAUUUUGAUGUUCUGGGCAGAUGAUACAGAUGACAAGCUACAAAAUGGAGAUCAAACUGAGGAAAGUUGAACUUCAGGUUUAUUUCUGGGAUCAUCGUCAUCGUUCCAUUGAGUAGUCUUACGGUAUUUUGCAUAGAGUAUGAUCU
RNAcentral lists this unclassified non-coding RNA (2237 nucleotides) under Hevea brasiliensis (rubber tree). Lineage: Eukaryota; Viridiplantae; Streptophyta; Magnoliopsida; Malpighiales; Euphorbiaceae. The record is from RNAcentral.